RNAcentral lists this ribosomal RNA (616 nucleotides) under uncultured bacterium. Its description in RNAcentral is "bacterial SSU rRNA". It matches the Rfam family "Bacterial small subunit ribosomal RNA", at positions 338 to 946 of the family's 1533-position model. The record is from RNAcentral.
CCUACGGGAGGCAGCAGUGGGGAAUUUUGGACAAUGGGCGCAAGCCUGAUCCAGCAAUGCCGCGUGCAGGAUGAAGGCCUUCGGGUUGUAAACUGCUUUUGUACGGAGCGAAACGGUCUGCUUUAAUACAGUAGGCUAAUGACGGUACCGUAAGAAUAAGCACCGGCUAACUACGUGCCAGCAGCCGCGGUAAUACGUAGGGUGCGAGCGUUAAUCGGAAUUACUGGGCGUAAAGCGUGCGCAGGCGGUUAUAUAAGACAGAUGUGAAAUCCCCGGGCUCAACCUGGGACCUGCAUUUGUGACUGUAUAGCUAGAGUACGGUAGAGGGGGAUGGAAUUCCGCGUGUAGCAGUGAAAUGCGUAGAUAUGCGGAGGAACACCGAUGGCGAAGGCAAUCCCCUGGACCUGUACUGACGCUCAUGCACGAAAGCGUGGGGAGCAAACAGGAUUAGAUACCCUGGUAGUCCACGCCCUAAACGAUGUCAACUGGUUGUUGGGUCUUCACUGACUCAGUAACGAAGCUAACGCGUGAAGUUGACCGCCUGGGGAGUACGGCCGCAAGGUUGAAACGUCAAAGGAAUUGACGGCUGAGAGNGCGAGCGACGACGAGGGAGAGG